AGACAGGGUUUCUCUGUGUGGCCCUGGCGGCCCUGGAACUCUCGCUGUAGACCAGGUGCUGGUAUUGAAGGAUUCUGCCAUAUACUGAAGACCAGCUGAGACAUCCAGCCUCAUGAACUAAACAACUACUGGAAUUUUGGAUCUUCUGUUAGGAGAAAGCCAUUGUUGGACUACCUGGACCAUAGCAUGAUAGCUGAAACAAGUAGGACCCCUACAACUAACAGAAGAGCCAGUGGAAGAACCUCACCAAGUUCACCAGGCGACGGAGACCAUCAUAACGGUCAAAGAGCUCCAAGACAGCCCGGAACGA
Molecule: long non-coding RNA, 310 nt
Organism: Meriones unguiculatus (Mongolian gerbil)
Lineage: Eukaryota; Metazoa; Chordata; Mammalia; Rodentia; Muridae
Exons: 3
Source: RefSeq, a predicted model, not a curated record